AGUAUAGUGUUGCCGUGCCCAACAAAAAAACAGGCUGAUUUACAGGUCUAACUGAUAGAGGUAAGACCUAGUCAUAAUUUUCACAUAACUAAACUUGUUAGAUGGGAAAAGAAGAGUAAAUAGAUAAACAUGUGAUAUAGUAUGCAAAUCAUUUGGGUUAGCUGCACCCGUUAUUAUAUAUCAUGUUGAACCAAUACGUCUAUUCGUUUAGCUUUGCUAUAGGCUUGAGAAGCCUGGCACACAUCAGAUUCCAGUUUUUCUGUAAGGAGUUAGGGUGGGUGCUUAGGUAACCAGUCACGUAUCUACUUUAAUAAGGGUAUUAACCCUAGCGAAAGCACAGCGUUAUAGCUUUCCACUGGUGUCUGAGUUACUAUACUACUACAUUAAGUACGAAUAUAUAUUGGCACGUAUGCUAGGGACACAGAGUAUAUUUAUCAAGGAUAUAUCAUACAUACUUUUUCCUCCUGCACUGUGAAUGUUUACAUGGUGUGUUCAAUAAAAACAUGGCAACAUUUCAUUUUUCGUGUGUUAUUUGUUUAAGCAGACUGUGAUUGUAUAUUGUUGUGACUUAGAUGAUGAUCAGAUCACAUUUUAUAACCAAUUUGUGCAGAAAUCCAUAUCAUUCCAAAGGGUUCACAUACUUUUUCUUGCAACUGUAUUGCGUUAUUAGUAGUUGAUACCACUAGGUUUGAGAGUGUUCAGGUAAUGAGCUGGUAGCCUAGGUCGUCGGGUAGAAGGAGCCGAAUCGUGAUCUCAUUGAGUUCAGCCAAUGCCCUUCAUAUAUUGGACAGCGUCUUGGCAAGCGAUGCCCCUCC
Pelobates cultripes (western spadefoot toad) is the source of this 815-nucleotide non-coding RNA. The record is from the annotation of a GenBank genome assembly. NCBI's taxonomy places the organism in Eukaryota, Metazoa, Chordata, Amphibia, Anura, Pelobatidae.